UUUUUUUUUUUUUUUUUUCAAACUUGAUACUUGGCAAAAUCUGGUAUAUCCUGCUUCCUAUUCCGUUCUUGGCCCCUAGACUCUGAAGAUCCAUAACCACAGGCCAGUUGCACGCUUGCUUUCUUUGGUGUGUAAGUGUAUCUGCCAGGACUAUGGGACUGCCCUGAUGGACACUUUCUGUAGUUAAAAGGGAGCAACAUUUUUUUUUUUUUUUUUUUAGGGCCACACCCAUGGCAUGUGGAAGUUCCCAGUGGCUACAGCUCCGAUUGGACCCCUAGCCUUGGAAUCUCCAUGUUCUGCAAGAGAGGCCCUAGCAAAGGCCAAAAGACAAAAAAAUAAAAUAAAUAAAUAAAUAAAUAAACUCAAUUGGGAAUAUGGGAAAUUUAGUUCAUUUGUAGAUUAACAGGGUAGCUGGGUGGGCUACUCUUGACACAUGACUUAGAUGAAGCCAAAAAUUAACUUGGUUUUUGACUCACCGUCUUCCCUAGCCUUGGAAUCUUGGCUGAAGAACUGCAGAUGAUUACAACAGCAGGAGAAAAAUGAAAUUUACCUGUUUAGUUUCAUUUAGACAUUCUAACUGGGAAAAAAACAAAAAAAGAGUAAAGGCAAAAACUCUCCUACUCUGUUUGGGGAGACCAGUUAGUAGUUAUAUUUUCCUGGGUGGCACAAAAUUAGCAUAUGCUUGGAGGAUGCAGAGUAUUUGAUUCAUCAUCUAGUUCUCCUGAUGGCUCUGUGGCCUUGGGCAAGUCAUUUAACUCCUUUGCGCUUUAGUUUAAUUUAUUACAAUAAAUAUGGGGAAUUCCCAUGCAAACAAACAUGAUAUAGUUCAGUGUAUUUACUUCUGGAGUCCUUGCUUCAUAUUUUAGCUCUGCCACUUUGUAGAUCUUUGACAUUGGACUGAUGAACCUUUGAGUCUCAGUUUGCUCAUCUACAGCAUGCAGAGGGCAGUACGAAUAGCGGUGCCCUUAGGACUGAUGCGACGAUUAAAAGAGAAUGCAUUUGGAGGGCUCAACACAGUGUCAGCUCACAGUUCAUGCUUACUAAAUGUUAUUAUUGGCACUGUCAUCAUUCUAUCAUUUUUAUUACAUAAAGAUAGAGUGGAAGAUUAGGUUAGCUUCUUGGAGUGGGUGGCUUUAGUGGGAUUUUGACUGGUGGGAAAUGGCAAGCAUACAAACAAUUUGGACAGAAAUAUGAAGGUGGGGAAGGAAAAGAUGAGAGUGGUGGAGGCAGCCUGGUGUGGCUGGGACAUGAGGCAUGUGGGGGUUGUGGUGUGAGGCCAGACUGGGAAGGGAUGCUGGGGCGACGAUGUGGGAGCUGUGAUUGGCCUUGUGUGUAGAUUACACUUUCUUCUGUGCAGGAUGUGAAAGAUUGAAACUUUUGGCGAGGGGAGUGACAUGAUCACACAGAGGUUCUCUGGUGAUAAGGCUUCCAUGUUUUGCAGGUGGAUUUAGAACAAGGAUGGAGGCCUGGGGACCAGCUAGAGAUUGAUUUUAAUAGAAAAAUGGAGACAUAAAUGGGGACUUCAAAAAGGUAUUGACAAGUAGAGGGGAAAGAGAGAGGACAUUUAGACAUGUUAUUAUUGAAUGAGUGAUAGGGAUUCUUUUUUGUGUUUUCUUUUGAAUUAAAGAAUUAGAAGCUAAAAUAGAUCACAAACACUUAAAGACAAGGUCAGUGAUAAAAGACAUAAAAGGAGUGUUUAGUGAGGUGUGUCGGUUUGCUAUCAUUGGAGAGAAGCCACUAUUUAAAACUUUAGUGUCUCAUUAAAAAACCAAAAAACAAAACAAAAAAAAAAAUUAAAACAACAACCAUUUACCAUUUCUCAUGAGCCUAGGAGUCAAGUUGGCAGGUCUGGUCUCAGCUAGACUCAGUCAUGCAACUGUGUUGGACUUUGGGUUGGGUUGCCUCUCUGAACAUCAUGGCCAAGUUCCCCCUAUGUGCAAGUAUUGGCUGGCUGUAGGCUGGUCUAAGAUGACCUCAGUUGGGACAGCUGGGCCCUUUACCAUGUGGUCGCUCAUCCUCCAUCAGGCUAGCCUGGGCUUAUUCUCAGAUCAUGGCAGGUUUCCAAGAGAAAAAGCAAAAGCGUGCAAAGUCUCUUGAGGCCUAAGCUUAGAAUUAGUACAGUGACACUUAACCCACAUCCUGUUGGCUGAAAUGAGGCAUUAGGCAAGUUCAUUUCCAGGGGUGGAGAAACAGACUAUACCUCUCAAUGGGAGGAACCGCACAGUUACAUUGCAAGGAGUAGGUCCCGAGAGGCCAUCAAUGGAAACAGUACCAUCAGUCCUGCUACACAGGGACUGCUCAAAUUGAGCUACUGUGGUCACAUACUAAACAUUUAUUAGACACUUACUAUAUUCCAGUCACUGCUCUAGGCCUUUCCUACCUUCAGGAAGCUUCCUAUUGAGGAAGAGCCGGGGACACAUAGCUAGUGAGGGCACCAAUGGAUAUGCUCUGUCUUCCUUAUAAUUCAUUCCUGCCUUCCCCUGGACUGCUAAAGUGCAGCUUCUGAGGACAUUGAACCUCAGGCUUGGCAUCACUUGGUUCUUGAGCUAAUCUAUACCAAGUCUGGCCAGCAGGUUCUAGAGCUUUCCAGCUUGAGUGGGCUUCUUUGUUUAUUUAUAAUACCUUUAUUUCAUUUCUUUUAUUGGAUCAUUUCCUUCAUUAUAAUGAAACAUAUUUUGUCCUGUAGAAGAUCCCAAAGUCCUUCAUCAGUCUUUUCAGGUAUUCACAGUCUUUGCAAGUGUUCAUAUGCCCUAGAUUUGUGUGCCUAGAUCAUCGUGUCUUUAUUACCAUAGUGUUUUAGCCUUUGAAAUGCUUCUCUGCUAACACCCACCUCACCCUGCCUAUUGCUUGGAAUAUAGGGCUGCAUUUCCCCCCUACUGCCUCUCUGUAGUUUUCUAAAAUCCAUUCAUGUUAGUAUUUCUCUUGUCUUAUAUUUUGGACAUCAAUGGAAUAUCCAUAGCUGAUUACGUAGGAAAUCCUGUUGCUUAUAAGCAGAAAAUAGCUAUCACACAUGGAAUCACUUCUUUAUCCCUGCAUGAAUCCUCCUGUUUUUUUCAGUAUCCUGACCCUUUGAUUAUUGGGGUGGGAGAAGGAUGAACUGACCUGGAGGAGAUCUAAAUGAAUUUUUAGUGAAAGCCCUGGGUAAAGCUUUUGCUAUGUUUUGGUAACAUUUCAUAAACUUGUUUGAUCUUUAUCUUAUUUAAAUUUGUCAUGAAGAAUACAUGUUGUAGUUUUUCACACUAAUAGUAUUUUUGAAUUGUCCCAUUCAGUUUUUGAAAAAUUUGGUUUCUUUUGAGAGUGACAGUAGACUUUUGUCAAAUGCGGGAGACCUCUGGGUGCGUGCACAGUAUAUGCCUCUUCCUGUGAAGACUGCAGAGAUCUAUUUUUCCCAUCUCCUGAAGGACGGACCCCUUCCAAAUCUCUACCUUCUGAGUCCCUGGUCCACUGUUGAGCUACAGCUUUGACCUUCAGUAAGGUACCAAGGUGAAGCAAGGUCUGUGAUGGGGAGAUAAAAAUAUCUGGGUGACUCGGGUCUAGAGCAAAGAGUCUCCCAAAUUUGAUUCACUGGGGUGAAAGAUAGCUCAAGGAUGACAUACAAAGUGGAACUGUGAAGUUCUGGAGCGAGCGUUCUUCUCUCACACCUUCAAGAAAUGAGCCUCAUUAUGUUUUUAUCAGAAAGGGAGACAUAUUGAAUCAUCGGUUUUAAAACCGAAGAGCUGAGCCAUGAUAUAGAAUUCUUUCUGUAUUUUCUUGUAGCCUCAGCUCGAAGACAAAAACGAUAGCUGACAAUCUGACAAAUUCAUCCCUUGAGAAAA
RNAcentral lists this long non-coding RNA (3815 nucleotides) under Sus scrofa (pig). Its description in RNAcentral is "lncRNA (ENSSSCG00055008508.1)". The record is from RNAcentral. Lineage: Eukaryota; Metazoa; Chordata; Mammalia; Artiodactyla; Suidae.